RNAcentral lists this ribosomal RNA (255 nucleotides) under uncultured bacterium. Its description in RNAcentral is "partial 16S ribosomal RNA". It matches the Rfam family "Bacterial small subunit ribosomal RNA", at positions 524 to 776 of the family's 1533-position model. The record is from RNAcentral.
UACGUAGGAUGCAAGCGUUGUCCGGAAUUAUUGGGCGUAAAGCGAACGUAGGCGGCUUCUUAAGUUUGGUCUUAAAAGACCGGGGCUCAACCCCGGGAAUGGACUGAAUACUGGGAGGCUGGAGGAUGUCAGAGGAAAGUGGAAUUCCCAGUGUAGCGGUGAAAAUGCGUAGAUAUCGGGAGGAACACCAGUGGCGAAGGCGACUACCUGGCCUGUUCUUGACGCUGAGGCGCGAAAGCUAGGGGAGCAAACGGG